RNAcentral lists this transfer RNA (66 nucleotides) under Yunnanacris yunnaneus. Its description in RNAcentral is "tRNA-Glu". The record is from RNAcentral. Lineage: Eukaryota; Metazoa; Arthropoda; Insecta; Orthoptera; Acrididae.
AUUUAUAUAGUUUAAAAAAAACAUUACAUUUUCACUGUAAAAAUAAUAUUUCUGUAUUUAUAAAUA